GGGACAGAGAGAUGGGGAGGGGGGAGAAAGAUGGGGCAAUAGAGAGAUGGGGAGGGGGAGAAAGACGGGGACAGAGAUGGGGAGGGGGGAGAAAGAGGGGGAAUAGAGAGAUGGGGAGGGGGGACAUAGAGAUGGGGAAGGGGGAGAAAGGGGGGCAAUAAAGAGAUGGGGAGAAAGAGAGGGAAGAAUGAGACACAGGGGGAGACAGAGAGGGAAGAAUGAGACACUGGGAGAAAGAGGGGGAAUAGAGAGAUGGGGAGGGGGAGAAAGAGACAGAGAGGGAAGAAUGAGACACAGGGGGAAUAGAGAGAUGGGGAGGGGGGAGACAGAGAGGGAAGAAUGAGACACGGGGAGAAAGAGGGGGAAUAGAGA
Molecule: non-coding RNA, 372 nt
Organism: Pelobates cultripes (western spadefoot toad)
Lineage: Eukaryota; Metazoa; Chordata; Amphibia; Anura; Pelobatidae
Source: the annotation of a GenBank genome assembly